This 276-nucleotide ribosomal RNA is filed under the name Triticum aestivum (bread wheat). Its description in RNAcentral is "partial small subunit ribosomal RNA". The record is from RNAcentral. Lineage: Eukaryota; Viridiplantae; Streptophyta; Magnoliopsida; Poales; Poaceae.
AUGCAGAGGUGCCUACUCAAGCUCUGGGGGAUGUUAGAUGAGAGCAAUGAUGAUAGGCAAGCAAAGGAUGAAGAGAUAAGCAAGCCUAAAAUGGAUAAUGAACAAGUGAACCUUAAGCUCGAGAAUCUUGUUGCAGCUGUGGAAAGAACUAAUGUAACUACCAUGAAGAUUGACAGGCAGAAGAAGCAGAUGGGUAUCGUUGAUAAAGACGUCAAGCUCAUUCAGAGGUCUCUCACAAGUGCCAUUCAUAAUGUUAAGGACGACAAGGGUGCAUAA